Molecule: ribosomal RNA, 459 nt
Filed under: uncultured Desulfovibrio sp.
Lineage: Bacteria; Pseudomonadati; Thermodesulfobacteriota; Desulfovibrionia; Desulfovibrionales; Desulfovibrionaceae
Also listed under: 1 other name
Description: partial 16S ribosomal RNA
Rfam family: Bacterial small subunit ribosomal RNA
Source: RNAcentral
ACGGGAGGCAGCAGUGGGGAAUAUUGCGCAAUGGGCGAAAGCCUGACGCAGCGACGCCGCGUGGGGGAUGAAGGUCUUCGGAUCGUAAACCCCUGUCAGGAGGGAAGAAUGGGAGAUGCGCCAAUCAACAUCUCUGUGACGGUACCUCCAAAGGAAGCACCGGCUAACUCCGUGCCAGCAGCCGCGGUAAUACGGAGGGUGCGAGCGUUAAUCGGAAUCACUGGGCGUAAAGCGCAUGUAGGCGGACCAGCAAGUCAAGGGUGAAAUGCCGGGGCUCAACCUCGGAACUGCCUUUGAAACUGCUGGACUGGAGUACGGGAGAGGACAGCGGAAUUCCAGGUGUAGGAGUGAAAUCCGUAGAUAUCUGGAAGAACACCAGCGGCGAAGGCGGCUGUCUGGCCCGUUACUGACGCUGAGAUGCGAAAGCGUGGGUAGCAAACAGGAUUAGAUACCCUGGUA